Molecule: non-coding RNA, 131 nt
Organism: Triticum aestivum (bread wheat)
Lineage: Eukaryota; Viridiplantae; Streptophyta; Magnoliopsida; Poales; Poaceae
Source: Rfam
AUGGUACUCCCUCCGUCCGGAAAUACUUUUCAUCAAAAUGAAUAAACGGGGAUGUAGAUGUAUUUUAGUUCUAAAUACAUCCCUUUUUGUCCAUUUUGAUGACAAGUAUUUUCGGACGGACGGAGUACCUG